AAGGACACUGCAGUAAGAAGAAGUUGGGAGCGACAAGCAAAGAAGACUGUAAAGAAGUUGUUCAUCAGCACAGAGUGUGAUAUCCUGAAAGCCAAAUGAAGAAAGAAGCAAGCAUCAAGAUCAAGAAGAAAGAAGUAAACCAGUUGUGUCAAAAGUUGGUUCAGGCCGGGCGCAGUGGCUCACGCUUGUCAUCCCAGUACUUUGGGAGGCUGAGGAAGAGGACAAGAGACCUGGGCUCCCUCUCUUUCCACCGUAUCGAGGACACAGCAAGAAGGCAACCAUCUGUAAGCCAGGAAGUGGACCCUCACCAGGAACCAAAGCUGCCUAUACCUUGAUCUUGAACUUUGAAGACUCCAACACUGUGAGAAAUAAGUAUCUGCUGUUUAAGGCUCCCAGUCUUUGAUAUUUUUUUAUGGCAGCCUGAGGUGACUACGAUAGCAGGACUUGAAUCUAGUCCAGGAAAGCCACAGGGCUCUGUUUCCUCUCUCAUGCUGCAUUCUUCCUGCAAUGAAAGUAAGUUAUUAGCAAUGCAGUUUUCCACAGUUACUCCGAUGUUUUGCCUGGGCCUGUUCAGACCUUUCAGGACUCAGUUAAGAACAAAUCCAGGGAUCGUUAUUUGCUUUCGCUGGAGAGCAAGCAAUAGACAUGUAGCCAUUAACUGAAAUGGUUUUGGACAUUAGGUCAAUUUCUGGGGGAAAUGGAAUCGGGAUGAACUGGCACCUUUGAGUGUAUGUGAUGUUCACUUCUUUUUCACGGUUCUCGAUACAAUUUCACCAGUAAAAAUUGUUCCUCAGUGUGGAACCUGCUAUUGCCAGAUAAAUGAAACCCCUUUGGCCUUGGGAUGUUAGGAGAGAGAGACAGAGAGAGAGAGAGGCAUGAAGACACUUUUCUAGUGUGAAUGGUGUUUUAUAGGCUCAAAGCAUGUGAGAGCUGGAAAGGACUUCAGAUUCAGCUAAGUCCACCCCCUCAUCUAAUAUGUGAGGAAACUGAGGCCCAGAGGGAGGAAAUGCCCAGCUCCAGGGCAGAGCUAGGAACACAGAAAGCAAGGGUCAUGGACCGAAUGUUUGUGUCAUCUCUCAAAUUCAUAUGUUGAAGCCCUGAUCCCCAUUGCAGUGGUAAGUCUGGUGAUAAACCUGGGAAGAUAACACUGAUCCAUCCUUCAUGAAAACAGAGAUGUCUCCAGGUAUUUCACAUGUAAAGUAGCUUAAAACAGAGAAUUAGUCACAUAUAAAGUGACUGAAAGUACUGGAGGAGCAAAGGUCAGGAAAAGCUGCUGACACUCAGUUUUAAUCACAGCUAUCAAAUAAUUUGAAACUGUAGGAAACUGUCACCAAUGAUUAUAUCUGCUUGCAGCAAUAAAGCAAGUGAUCUGUAGGAGAAAGGAGAUUUCUGUAAAAUCUCUCAUGUGCUAACAUCUGUGCAUAUAUUUGACUGACAAAGAGAAACAAUAAUAUGGCUCCUGUCUCUCACCUUUUCCAGCAUCUACUGGCAAAAUCUAUAGCAUAACUCUGGUGACAAAGAAUUCUGGGAAAUGUAGCUCCCAGGCUUCCAGCCCCUUGUGAAAUAGAGAAUAAAAAGGAGUAGAAAUGGUGCUAAACUGGUAACAGAAUUUCUAACACAACAGUUCUACUAAAUUCUUUCCACCCUUUCUUCCAUCACUCUGUAUUUCGUUUCCUCUUUUCUUCCUUUCCAGAAUAUUUGGUGAGGGACUCAGGGGACUGUUGUCUGUUUGUGCUGAGGCCUGGCUGGUGUAGAAUGAUAGAGAUUUGCCUUGAACAACAGCAUGCAUUUGAUGGGGGGAAAGGCCUUUCCAGAUAUUUGCAAACAAGCAAAAUCUUUUUUAAAAGAAAUCUGGACAUGUUUGUGUGUCACUAGAAAGAGCCAAACACCUAGCAGUGGAUCAAGACCCAGACUGCAGGUGCGGACAGAUCUGAAAUCUAGGUCUGGUUUUGCUCUUCACUACCUAGCAGACCCUGAGCAUCUGACAUAAUCUACGUCUUACUAAUAGGAAUAACAAGAGUUAUUAAUCUCAUAGGAUUCUUCUGAGAAUUGCACGAAAUAAUAUAUAUUGCAUUAUAUUUAGCACAUAGUGAAAAUUUUGUAGUGGUCCUGAUAUUAUUAUGCUUAUUUUAAAUCAUUAUUGAUAAUAACUAAUGUUGAGAGUUCAAAAAUUAGGGCUCAGUUUUGCAGAUAUCAGAAUUCAGUCUAGGUUCUCUAAGCAGAUAUGAAUCAAAUGCUAUUUACUAAAUGGCUUUUGGGAUCAAUAGAGAGGCUGAGGAAGCUGCCUCUUGGUUGAACUCUCAGGACUACCUCAGAGAACUUGGUCACCCAGGAGCCACUGCCUCAUUUUUGACCUGAAAACCUCCUGAUGAAUUGAGAAGCUGGUGCUCCACCUGCAGGGUCUGCACUUGCUCUUCCAUAAAUAGGAAGCCAGAAAGACAAGGAAGGCAUCUAUUAAAUCAGGAAACUGUCCGUACGGAUACGGGCUUGAGGCCUAUGCCACCCAUGUAUGGUCAAGAAGCAACUGGAAAAAAAAAUCAGACCUGCCCAGAAUGGUGCCCACAGAAAGAGAAGCAGCAGCAGAAAUGGGCUCCACUCCAUUGCCACCUUCCACAUUGCAGACAAGUGCAUCUAACCCAAAUCAUAUCCAGGGCCCCAGCUGUACAAUUGUUUGUACCAUGUAGUAUUUAGAUAUCUACAUCCUGCACCCCAGGAAGACACUCCAAAGGAAGUGGAGUGCCAAUCCACUAUUUUAAUCACUGGGAAACCAUGUUUUUCUCAACACUCAUGUUUUCUUGGGGAGCUACUUUCCCAGGGAAACACUCCUGGCCACUGUUUCCAUUCUUUACUUAUGGUUGUCCAUGAGAAAAGGUGUGUGAUAUUUAAUAAUGAGCUUGGCUCAGCUCCUUAGGGUUUCUUCCUUGAGUUAUGCUCAACACCAGUGAGGGUGCAUUCUCCUGUUCUCUGGGGCCAGGCAGUUAUCUUAGUCUAAAGGCCCUGCCCCUGUCCAGGGUGGCCAGCAAUGGCCCAGCUAUGAAGGAACUCGGUGAAUAAAUAUCUGUCUCCUGUAUAGGCAAAGUUUUAGCAAGCCCACCUGCCUACAUAGCUAAGCCAUGUGCUCUAAACAGCUUUGUCACUAAUGAAGCUCACAUUUUGACCCCAGAAUACUUGACUCUUGUUCAAUGCAAUUGAUUCCAAACUCAGGCAGGUGAUAGUGGGUGUUAUAUGUUAAUCCAUUAAAUUUCCAUUAUGAAAUUAGAGCUUGAGCAGAUAAUUAACAAAAGAAAUACAAAUGACAAAUAGUGAAUGAUCAAACUCAAAGGCAAUUAAACUUCAGUUUAAAAAAUUCAAAGACGCCGGGCGCAGUGGCUCACGCCUGUAAUCCCAGCACUUUGGGAGACAGAGGCGGGUGAAUCACCUGAGGUCAGGUUGCUGUGAGCUGAGAUCACACCACCACACUCCAGCCUGGGUGACGGAGUAAGACUCCAUCUAAAAAAAAAAAAAAAAAUCAAAGAAAAUUUUAACCUAAGACAUAAAAAAAAAAAAAAAGUGAAUACUCAGUGUGUGUGAUGAGUUAAAAAUACUGCCAUAUACUGCUAGUGGGUAUACAAAUUCAUAUAUUUGGGGAGAUAAAUUUUGUGAUAUAUAUCAAAGCCAUAUGGUUUAACCCAGAAAUCUUAUAUCUAAGCACUUCUUUCAAGGGGACAAAUGAGUUAUCCAUUUCAGUAUUACUUAUGAUAGUGAAAAGUUAUGACUUCCUCCAGGUUCCAAAACAGGAGAUUUAUGAAAUAGUUGCAGUACACAGAAUGUUAUGUUUCCAUUAAAAAAUGCCUUAGCAUCUGAAUAUUUGAUUUCAUCUGGAAAUAAUCAUGGCAUAGUAUUAAGUGAAAAAGAUUAUAAAACAGUGUAUAUAGCAUUCUCUUAGUUUUAUAAACACAUAUGUGUGCAUCUAUAUCUAUAUACACAUAUUUAUACAUAUGCAUGCAUCUAUCUAUACAUAUAUAUCUAUGGUUACAUAUGUAUUUAUAUAUGCAUGUAUGUGUACGCAUAGAUGUAUAUUUGUGAAAAAUGCAGUUAUGACAUAUGUGCUUUCUAAGCUUCUGUAAAAGGAGGGCUGGAGCAAAAGGGAUGGGAGAAUAAAACUAAUCUGUGUUUUUGAGUUUGGGCAGCUGCCUCUUUCUACCACUUUCCAUUCUCUUUCUGGUUUCUGAUACAAUUGCAGUCUGUGACAAGAGAUUCUGCUAUCUCAGUGUUCUCUUGAUGACUCUUUUAUAACUAGAAAUCAUGAUUAUUUUAUUAUUUAUUAUACAAACAACGUUAGGGGCACAUUAACAAAAAUGAAAACCUUCUCUGACAAUCUGCCACCCUAGUAAGUCAGCUUCCUUUUAUCCCUGUUCCCUGCCUGUUCUAAUCCAUAUGCAUGCAGUAUUUGUUCCUAUAGCAAUGUUCUUAUAACAUGAACACAAUUUUCUGUUUUCUUUUAGCCACCUGUAUAGUCAAAGCUUUUUCCCUGUUGCUUCACAGUGCAUCCUCUGUCUCUGCAUGAGAAAGUAAAGUGACUUGAGAACACGUGGAUGUGUCUGGGUCCCUUGUGCCCUUCCUUGUAACCAUUGAGGUACUGGCAGGUGUGGAUGUACCAGGCUGUCCCUGGCCACAGCUGCCAAGGACUGGGGCCUGGUGUUGAUGCCUACUCAAGAGAGCUCUUGGUUAAGGUGGUACUAAUCCCAUACUGGGUUAGUCACCUCUUCUGUGUUG
RNAcentral lists this long non-coding RNA (4755 nucleotides) under Homo sapiens (human). Its description in RNAcentral is "LHRI_LNC1449.1". The record is from RNAcentral. Lineage: Eukaryota; Metazoa; Chordata; Mammalia; Primates; Hominidae.